This 485-nucleotide ribosomal RNA is filed under the name uncultured bacterium. RNAcentral describes it as "partial 16S ribosomal RNA". It matches the Rfam family "Bacterial small subunit ribosomal RNA", at positions 28 to 523 of the family's 1533-position model. The record is from RNAcentral.
GACGGACGCUGGCUGCGUGCUUAACACAUGCAAGUCGAACGCUGAAGCCCGAAGCUUGCUUCGGGUGGAUGAGUGGCGAACGGGUGAGUAACACGUGAGUAACCUGCCCCUGAUUUCGGGAUAAGCCUGGGAAACUGGGUCUAAUACCGGAUACGACCACCUGACGCAUGUCGGGUGGUGGAAAGUUUUUCGAUCGGGGAUGGGCUCGCGGCCUAUCAGCCUGUUGGUGGGGUAAUGGCCUACCAAGGCGACGACGGGUAGCCGGCCUGAGAGGGGGACCGGCCACACUGGGACUGAGACACGGCCCAGACUCCUACGGGAGGCAGCAGUGGGGAAUAUUGCACAAUGGGGGAAACCCUGACGCAGCGACGCAGCGUGCGGGAUGACGGCCUUCGGGUUGUAAACCGCUUUCAGCAGGGAAGAAGCGAAAGUGACGGUACCUGCAGAAGAAGUACCGGCUAACUACGUGCCAGCAGCCGCCGUAA